AGAUAAAAAGAGAACAAGAGGAUAUUACUAUCUGGCAGGGAGCCCAGCGCGAGGUGGAGCUUCAGUAGCUAGGAGGAGUCCAGAGCGAGGUGAAGCUCCAGGUAGAAGUGGAUUAGGUAUGAGAUGUGAGACUUAGAAGGAUGAGAGGCAAUAUCAUAGGGUGAGAUUUCUAUUACCGCAGAAGGAUAUCUCGAGCAGAUC
Molecule: long non-coding RNA, 201 nt
Filed under: Elaeis guineensis (African oil palm)
Lineage: Eukaryota; Viridiplantae; Streptophyta; Magnoliopsida; Arecales; Arecaceae
Description: long non-coding RNA (EGUI_LNC009779)
Source: RNAcentral